UUUAAAUUGCUGUAGUAUUUUGACUAUACAAAGGUAUUGAAAUAAGACUUUAAUUGAGUGCUAAGAGAAUGGACUUUCAAAAAAAUGCUUUCUUAAUUUUAAAAAUUGAAAUUAUUUUUUUUUGUGAAGAAACAACAAUAAAAAUUAAAGACAAGAAGACCCUAAGAAUUUUUAUAAAUUUAUUAUAUUAAUAUAUAAUACAUUUAUUUAAUUGGGGCGAUUUGAAAAUAUUUAAAACUUUUUAAAAACUAAUAAGAUCCAUUAAUAAUGAUUUUAUGAAAAAAAUACUCUAGGGAUAACAGCGUAAUAAUUUUAGAUAGAUCUUAUAGAAAAAAUAGUUUGCGACCUCGAUGUUGGAUUAGGAUUCUUAUUUAAUGAAGAAGUUAAAAAAAGAAGUUUGUUCAACUUUUAAAUUCCUACUUGAUCUGAG
RNAcentral lists this ribosomal RNA (430 nucleotides) under Haemaphysalis sulcata. RNAcentral's name for it is "partial 16S ribosomal RNA". Lineage: Eukaryota; Metazoa; Arthropoda; Arachnida; Ixodida; Ixodidae. The record is from RNAcentral.